This 253-nucleotide ribosomal RNA is filed under the name uncultured bacterium. Its description in RNAcentral is "partial 16S ribosomal RNA". It matches the Rfam family "Bacterial small subunit ribosomal RNA", at positions 524 to 776 of the family's 1533-position model. The record is from RNAcentral.
UACGGGGGGGGCAAGCGUUGUUCGGAAUUACUGGGCGUAAAGGGCGCGUAGGCGGUUUGCUAAGUUGGAUGUGAAAACUCUGGGCUUAACCCAGAGCCUGCAUUCAAAACUGACAGGCUAGAGUUCUGGAGGGGAUAGCGGAAUUCCUGGUGUAGCGGUGAAAUGCGUAGAUAUUGGGAAGAACACCUGAGGCGAAGGCGGGUUGCUGGGCCGACACUGACGCUGAGGCGCGAAAGCCAGGGGAGCGAACGGG